CAGUCGCCACGGGAAUACGGAGGGUGCAAGCGUUAUCCGGAUUUAUUGGGUUUAAAGGGUCCGUAGGCGGAUCUGUAAGUCAGUGGUGAAAUCUCACAGCUUAACUGUGAAACUGCCAUUGAUACUGCAGGUCUUGAGUAAAUUUGAAGUGGCUGGAAUAAGUAGUGUAGCGGUGAAAUGCAUAGAUAUUACUUAGAACACCAAUUGCGAAGGCAGGUCACUAAGAUUUAACUGACGCUGAUGGACGAAAGCGUGGGGAGCGAACAGGAUUAGAUACCCCAGUAGUCCCUGUCUCUUAUAC
This 301-nucleotide ribosomal RNA is filed under the name uncultured bacterium. RNAcentral describes it as "partial 16S ribosomal RNA". It matches the Rfam family "Bacterial small subunit ribosomal RNA", at positions 509 to 807 of the family's 1533-position model. The record is from RNAcentral.